Molecule: ribosomal RNA, 255 nt
Filed under: uncultured bacterium
Lineage: Bacteria
Description: partial 16S ribosomal RNA
Rfam family: Bacterial small subunit ribosomal RNA
Source: RNAcentral
UACGUAGGGUGCAAGCGUUGUCCGGAAUCAUUGGGCGUAAAGCGCGCGUAGGUGGCUUCGUAAGUCCGUUGUGAAAGUCAAAGGCUCAACCUUUGAAUGCCGAUGGAUACUGCGAAGCUAGAGUACGGAAGAGGCGAGUGGAAUUCCUGGUGUAGCGGUGGAAAUGCGCAGAUAUCAGGAGGAACACCAAUGGCGAAGGCAGCACUCUGGGACGUGACUGACGGCUGAGACGCGAAAGCGUGGGGAGCAAACAGG